CACAUAAAUUGUUUCCAUUCCAGUAGCUUGGUUUGUCUAUAUACCAAUUACUAAAUUUUAUUUCUCCGUAACUGUAGAAAGCAUCAUCAUCCAGAGACCAUCUCCAGCUGUUCAGAUCAUCAUACAGUCCAAUCCAGGCUGAACCAGAGUAGCUGCCAUUUACUGUGUUAAGGAGUGUGUUCAUUUCCUCCAUGUUAUUAAUGGUUGCCAGAAAGCGUCAUCAUCCAGAGACCAUCUCCAGCUGUCCUCAUCACCAUACAGUCCAAUCCAGGCUAAACCUGAGUAGCUGCCAUUUACUGUGUUAAGGAGUGUGUUCAUUUCCUCUAUGUUAUCAAUAGUAGCCAGAAAGAAUCAUCAUCCAGAGACCAUUUCCAGCUGUUCAGAUCAUCAUACAGUCCAAUCCAGGUUCGACUGCUGUUCCAGAUGUCAAUUAUGUUUGUAAGGGCCAAGUCCUCUUCUGUGUUAGUAAUAGAGGCUAAAUCAACAUAAUUCUCUCUGCAGUAUAUCUGUGCUUCAGACCAGGUCUUAUUCUCAUUAAUGAAGUGAUACUGACGAGGAAGACAGA
Tachysurus fulvidraco (yellow catfish) is the source of this 565-nucleotide long non-coding RNA. RefSeq lists it as uncharacterized. The record is from RefSeq and is a predicted model, not a curated record. The transcript is spliced from 3 exons. Lineage: Eukaryota; Metazoa; Chordata; Actinopteri; Siluriformes; Bagridae.